This 1620-nucleotide long non-coding RNA is filed under the name Homo sapiens (human). Its description in RNAcentral is "non-protein coding lnc-SMIM37-1:2". The record is from RNAcentral. Lineage: Eukaryota; Metazoa; Chordata; Mammalia; Primates; Hominidae.
GGGACAGGGUUUCACCAUGUUAACCAGUCUGGUCUUGAAUUCCUGACCUCAAGUGAUCUGCCUACCUUGGCCUCCCAAAGUGCUGGGAUUACAGGCAUGAGCUGUCGCACUCAGCCAACAUUCCUGUUUUUGAAAAUCCUCCAAUCCCUGAAGUCUGUAUUACAAGACCAAUUCUGCAUUGCUGAGAGAGACUGUGCUUUACAGAGAGUAAGAUCCUUGAUACUGGCUCAGCAUGGAACAUCUGGCACACAGUAUGCACUGAGGAAAUACUUGUUGGAAUAAUCAGUGAAUCAUAGAUGAAAACUUAACCUUGGAAUUAAUUAUGAGACUGCUCAGAGGAAGAGAAUGGGAGACAAAGGACCUGGUGAUUAGACCCCCAAGACACUGGGCUGUCUGCUUGUGUCUCGGGUGGAACAGGCCCAGCGAGAGUCUUUAGGGCCAGAACUCAAGAAUUUAUUGAGCCCUUGUUCUAGGCACUUGGGAUUCACCAGUAUACAAUGGAGACAAAAAUCCCUGCCCUGGAGCAGCUUACAUUCUAGCAUGGCAAACAGGCAGUAAACAGCCCAUUCUGGCUGCUGUAUUGAGAAGAGAAUGUGGUGGACAGAUAUAGAAGCAUGGAAACCUGAUAGGGCUAUUGCAAUCACUCAGAAAAGAGGCGAUGGCAGCUUGGACCUGUUGGAAGCAGUAGAGUGCUUCCAGGGAGGAGAAAGGACCUGAAGGUUAAUUUGAUCACCAAUGGCCAAUGAUGUAAUCAGUUAUGCCUAUGUAAUGAAGCUUCCGUAAAAACCAAAAGGAUUGGGUUUGAUUGAGCUUCUGGAUAGCUAAACAUGUGGAAGUUCCUGGAGGAUGGUGGUCCUAAACAGGGGUUACCAGAAAAUUUAAAGUUACGCCAGUCACUCCCAUUCUAUUGCUGAGAGAAAAUACAGAGCGGUGAAGAGCUUACAGUCGGGUGAGCAAGAUACGCCCCCAAUGUUAGCUAAUGAUGUAAGGCAUCAACAAGAAAUGUGGGGGUUCAGGAAAGUGGAAGGUGGGGUCGUCCAAAGCCUGGGAAAGUCUUCAGUUGAAGGCGAGACAGAUGGGACUAUUAGUGAGUUUCGAGAGAUCCAACGCCUCGCCGCCUUCGCUUCAUUUUUGUCUCACGCCCCACCCUUGAACGCGCGGCGCCUUUUGACCCCGCCGCCGCGCCGUAGACCGCGCUGCACGCCGGCGGCAGCCAUGGCGGAUGUGUCAGAGAGGACACUGCAGUUGUCCGUGCUAGUAGCCUUCGCUUCUGGAGUACUCCUGGGCUGGCAGGCGAACCGACUGCGGAGGCGCUACUUGGACUGGAGGAAAAGGAGGCUGCAGGACAAGCUGGCGGCGACGCAGAAGAAGCUGGACCUGGCCUGAGACUCUGCGCCUUCCGCCCCAUUCUGUCCCCCUCAUGGCCACCUUGCCAUGUCCGCGCCGGAGCCCCGGUCCGCCGGCGCCCAGAACCAGGCUUGCCACACAGUCCCCGCCUGCCAUGGCCGGCUCUUCCUGGAGUGUUGCUUGUUGAAGAUGCAUAUAGACUACCGGAAAGAAAUGACUUCUUCUUGCACUUUAUGAAUCAAUUUUAUUUUUAAAAUAAAAAAAUUAAACAUC